Molecule: ribosomal RNA, 253 nt
Filed under: uncultured bacterium
Lineage: Bacteria
Description: partial 16S ribosomal RNA
Rfam family: Bacterial small subunit ribosomal RNA
Source: RNAcentral
UACGGAGGAUCCAAGCGUUAUCCGGAAUCAUUGGGUUUAAAGGGUCCGUAGGCGGUUUAAUAAGUCAGUGGUGAAAUCUGGUCGCUCAACGAUCAAACGGCCAUUGAUACUGUUAGACUUGAAUUACUGGGAAGUAACUAGAAUAUGUAGUGUAGCGGUGAAAUGCUUAGAUAUUACAUGGAAUACCAAUUGCGAAGGCAGGUUGCUGGGCCGAUACUGACGCUGAGGCGCGAAAGCCAGGGGAGCAAACGGG